Long non-coding RNA from Juglans microcarpa x Juglans regia, 180 nucleotides. RefSeq lists it as uncharacterized. Lineage: Eukaryota; Viridiplantae; Streptophyta; Magnoliopsida; Fagales; Juglandaceae. The record is from RefSeq and is a predicted model, not a curated record. The transcript is spliced from 2 exons.
UAAUAUAUAUAUAUAUAUAUAUAUAUAUAUAUAUAUAUCUCGACCAAAUGUUAAUUUGGUUCUGUUUUUUUAUAUCUUUUUUUAUUUUCUUGAAGUCAAAUUAAAAGAAAUUGUUGGAAUUAAUAAUGCAGUGAGAUAGAUAUAUAUAUUAUAUAUAUAUAUAUAUAUAUAUAUAUAUAU